This 4766-nucleotide long non-coding RNA is filed under the name Cicer arietinum (chickpea). RNAcentral describes it as "long non-coding RNA (CARI_LNC000029)". The stretch from base 4316 to 4399 matches the Rfam family "Small nucleolar RNA Z102/R77". Lineage: Eukaryota; Viridiplantae; Streptophyta; Magnoliopsida; Fabales; Fabaceae. The record is from RNAcentral.
UUUAUUUUAUCAAACAACAUUCUUUAUUUCUUUUUGGGAAAUUGUUCCUCCCUUUUACAAUGGAAAUAAUUUUUUUGAAACUUUUAUUGUGAUUAAUUCAGUAUGAACUUGUUUCAUGUUUUCAGUGGUCCCCGUGAAGAUGCUACUCGUAUUGGGUCUGCUGGAGUUGUAAGGAGACAGGCUGUGGAUAUCUCACCUCUACGUCGUGUUAAUCAAGCCAUCUAUCUUUUAACCACUGGUGCACGUGAAGCUGCAUUCAGAAACAUCAAGUCAAUUGCUGAAUGUCUUGCUGAUGAACUUAUUAAUGCAGCAAAAGGUUCAUCCAACAGGUAUGCUUUUACAAUUCUAUCUAUUGAGCAUGCUGUUUUUAAUCUUUAUCUAUGUUUUAGAUUUUUAAUAUUUGACUUACUGAUAAAUACCAUACAAUGUUUCAGUUAUGCAAUCAAGAAAAAAGAUGAAAUUGAGAGAGUUGCUAAGGCAAAUCGUUAAGCAGCAACCUUGCGUGGCAGCAGUAUUGGCAACCUCUGCUUUUUGAAAAUAUAUGUUUCGGAAUUUAAUUUUUCAUUAUGAAUAGUAACUUGCAUACUUGGAAUGGAAUUUUUAAAAUUUUUGUUUUUCAGCAAUGAGAGCUAGUGUUUGCAGAAUUUAAUAGCAUGUCUUGUCCUAUCUUUUUAUUUCCAUGCUGCAACCUCUACUGCACUAAAAACUAUAAUAAUAAUAAUGGAAAAUUAGUAACCUUCAUUCUAAGCUUGUAAUCUUCCUGGUUCCUUUUGUUUGUCCAUCUCUUUUUAGUUCGGACAUCUACAUAAAGUUUUUGUUAGAACAUGGUGUAUAAUUAAGAGGUAUUGAAAUUGAGAAUAAAGAGAAAAAACAAAACAUUUUGGUAAACAAAGAUCGAUCAGUUCCAUUCCAAGAAUAUUCUUGGUAUUAGAAAGUGGAGUUCAAAAUUUCCUAUAUCUCUGUUAGAUCAUGAAAGAUUUGCGUUACUUUUGUUUUAUGGGAUUGAAAAAAUAGAAAUAGAUUUCAAAAACUUUAUGAAUCCUUACCAACCCAAUAAAUCCUAACUGCUCACAUAACCAGUUUUGUGAAGCCAAUCUAAACAAAGUAAUUGUUGUGAUUUACAAUAGUAUUUGAGAAACUUUUAUUUCUACGAUGGUGCGACGUGCAACGUAAAUCUUAUGGGAAGGAGAUCGGACAUGCCUACAUGGUUAGAACUGAAUUGAAAAAGUUAAGGAAACCCCCAAAUUUGUUUAUCAUUUUGUAUGACACUCUCAAAUAGGUCUAUCAAAUAGGUCUAUGAUACUUCAAAAACUCCGGCAAUGUCAAAUAUAUAAUUUUAUAUAACUUUAUUUUUAUAUUUAACUACUUACUAAUUAUUUGAUCCCUUAAUUUAAUAUUGUAUUUGCUAGUGAAACAAUUGUAAAAUAGCCAUCGGUAAAAUGAAAAAUAUGAAUAAUAUUUGAUGGAGGAAGAGGCAUGUUUGAAAUAUUUAUAAAUUUCAAAGUUCUAUUUGAGAGGAUUUAGUGAUUAUCUCGAAAGAAUGAAGCCUUACGGUUACGGUCUUGAUAUGAAAAGGGUCCUCUACUUUGCAAAUAGAAAACAAUUGAAAUAAAGUUACUCGAGUCAAUUAAUAAGAUGAUUUAAUUAUGGGGUUUGAAUACUUUUGUAAAUAGAUUAACAAGUUAAUGGAUUUGUCUUUUUUUAAAGUGAAAAAUUGGUAAGUGAAUAUAUCAAUGGUUGAUAUUAUAACCGUCUAUAAUUGGUCAUGCACAUCAAAUAACAAUCACUUAUUUGAUGUUUAAUGAUUGACAUUACUUUCUUUAUUAUCUAAAGUGUUGUUCACUUUAGAACACUUUAAAGGAGUCAAAUUCCUAGUUGAUAUAUCCAUAAUUUAAAUAAAUUUUAAUUUUUUUAAUCAAAAUUCACAACACUUAAAUUUUUAAAUAGAAAUAUAUUUCUCAUUUUUAGAUUAAGUUCAAAAAUAAAUUAUUGACCUUGUGUGGAAUAAUAUUAUGAAGUUUUAAAUUUUUAUGAGUUAAUGAUUUUUAGGAACUAAAACUUUAAAUUUCAUCUGUACGUAGAUUUAUCUAACCAAGUAACUAUAACUUGAAAAGAAAAAACAAACCUUUUUAUGAAUGCAUGUGUUAUGGGAAUUUAAAUCAAAUGAAUUUUUUCAAAUAAGUUUUUACCUUUUAACUCAAUUGACAAAUGUCAAUAAUGUUAGAUUGACCUAAUUACUCAAAAAUGUAAGGAAAAUGAAAUAAUAGUUAAGUCUAAGAUUAAAAAAUGUAUCCCUAACUUUUAUGUUUAUUUUUUUAAAAAAAAUGUAUUUUAAAUUAUGGUAAAAAAGAGGUGUAUUGUAGAUUUGAAAAAAAGAAAAAGGAAAUUGUUUAUUUACAGAAAAAAAAAAAAGAGUACAUGGGUAGAGGCAUAAUGGGCCGCGGCCCAUAACAGAAGAGAAAUACCAGGUUAGGUUUUCUAAUUAUUUUCUUCUGCUUCGCCGCAUUUGAAUCCUUUCUCCUGCUUCGCGGCGUGCGCUAAGUAUCUGUUUUCCGUUGAUUUCGCUUUGUUCGUGCGACAAUGGCUGAAGUCAUUCCAGAACCUGCCAUUGUUUCAGAUCCAAAUCAGAUCGAAGUCAAACUGUUCAACCGCUGGAGCUUUGACGACGUUCAGGUACUUUUUUUUUCAAUAAUUUUCCGUUUUUCAAUCUGCAUUGGGUUUAUUAUGAGUUCAAUUUGCUGAUUUUAGGUUUUAAUUACAUAUUAGUUUAAAUUAAUCAUUACUUCGAAGUGUCAUUAACUUGGUUCCUAUGUUGAUAUUUUCUUUGGUUUGUUAGCUUGCUGGUUUUAUGCUUUCAUUAGAUUUGGAUUAUAUAUUUCGAACAAUAUAAGUUGUAUUAUUUUUGCUGUUAGAGUUUUUUAAUUUCACUACUUAUUAGCUUUAAUUAAUAAUUAUUUGUAUACUUUGUCUGAAAUGUCAUGAAAAUUAAUCCAUUUUUUUUUAUUUGUAUGUUGAUGUUUUGUUAUUAUUUGUGUGUUAGCUUUCUGAUGUGUCACUGAUUGAUUACAUUGGAGUUGUGCCAUCAAAACAUGCGACAUAUGUUCCACACACCGCCGGAAGAUACUCCGUGAAGCGUUUCAGGAAAGCUCAGUGUCCUAUUGUAGAGAGACUCACCAACUCUCUCAUGAUGCACGGUAGGAACAACGGAAAGAAGCUUAUGGCUGUCAGAAUCAUCAAGCAUGCUAUGGAAAUUAUUCAUUUGCUAACUGAUCAGAACCCCAUUCAGGUUAUUGUUGAUGCUGUCGUCAACAGGUAUGGUUUGUUUGCUGGGAAACAAGAGGAUUUCCAUAUUAUUUGCGUGUUGUUGAUGGUUGCUGAAAUUGUGUUUUAUGUUGUGAUAACUGUAUUUGAUUUUCAAUUAUUGGAUUGUGGUUUUUUGUUUUGUCUGGUUUGAUGUGGGAGAUGGAGUGAUGAAUAUUUGUUUUCCUAUUGGUUUGACUGCCGGAAUGAUGGCAUUUUGUAUUAGCUCUAUCUGACCAUUCUUCCUAUCUUCCAGUUAAUUUGUUUUCUUCUUAAUAUCUUAUUAUAGAUAUUGCUCUCUUAUUUUGGACGAAAUAAAGAGGGUUUAACUUUUGUAACUUUUUUGUUUUACAAGUCAUGAGUGUUUGGGAGAUUGAAAAGAAAGACAGAUUAAAUAAAGUUAAAAGUUUUUGGAAAAUAACACUUUCGAUUUUUUUUCAUAAAAAAAUGUGUAAAUGAUUUGAAUUUUUCUUGAUUUACUUGUCUGUCUUUGAUAUGGAGAAUGAAAUGAUGAAUGUUUGUUUCCCUAUUGGUUUGACUGCCAGAAUGAUGGCAAUUUGUAUUAGCUCUAUCUGACCAUUCUCUUUAUCUCAUUUCAUUUUAAAAAAAUUAUUAAUUUAUAAUAAAAUUUGGUUUUCUGUUUUUUAUGUUGAAACUAUAACCUUUGCAGAAGAUAUUUUUACAUUUUGUGAGUUUUGUUGAUGCCUUACAUGAGUAAAAUAACCAGUCCAAAUAGAUUGAAGUUAAAGUUGCUAUCAACAAUAAAUAUAUGCUGUUUUGCUUAUCAAACUAAGUUUAAAUUGACUCUUUGGAUUGGAGGGCUGAAAUAUUUGUAUUUCUUUUUACUUGUAAUCAAAUGAUUCGCUAUUGAAACCAAUAAUUUUAUGUUUUGUUUUUGUUGUUAUUCUUGUUUUAAUUGGUUGUCAUUUGAAUUGAGCUUUGGAAAAAUAAUCUAAGUUUGACGUUGGAUCUAAUUUGAUUUUACAACUAAGAACAAAGGAUAAUCAGAGUUGGUGGAUGACAUGAUGAAUUAAUUAUUUCCCUAUUGGUUUGAUUGCCUGGAUGAUGGCAUCUGUGUAUUAGCUCUAUCUGAUCAUCCUCCUUAAUAUAUAGAUUCAUGAUUGUUUCUAUUUUAUUUAAUCAAACAGCAUUCUUUAUUUCUUUUUGGGAAAUUGUUCCUCCCUUUUACAAUGGAAAUAAUUUUUUUGAAACUUUUAUUGUGAUUAAUUCAGUAUGAACUUGUUUCAUGUUUUCAGUGGUCCCCGUGAAGAUGCUACUCGUAUUGGUUCUGCUGGAGUUGUAAGGAGACAGGCUGUGGAUAUCUCACCUCUACGUCGUGUUAAUCAAGCCAUCUAUCUUUUAACCACUGGUGCACGUGAAGCUGCAUUCAGAAACAUCAAGUCAAUUGCUGAAUGUCUUGCUGAUGAACUUAUUAAUGCAGCAAAAGGGUCAUCCAACAGGUAUGC